GGGGAAAAAUUAAUUAUUUAUAUUAUAAUAAAAAAAUUUUUAGGUAAAAAUAUUUUGGGGGGUUAAAGUAUUUUUAUUGAAAAAAUAAAAUAAUUUAUAAUAAAUUAGUAUUGUAAAAGAAUUUUGAAAUAAAUGAAAUAAAAAAUUAAUUAAAAGUAGUUUUAAUUUAAUGUAUCUUGUGUAUCAGAGUUUAUUAAAUAAAAUUUUUAAUUUAAAAAUUCUCGAAUUUAAAAGAGAUAAUUAAUUAAUAAAGUUAUUGUAGCAUAAAUAUUUAAAAUAAUUAAUUUGAAAUGAAAUGUUAAUCGUUUUUAAAUAUAUCUAGUUUUUUUAGAAAAAAAUUUAAUUUUUUAUUAUUCCAUGAAAAAAUUAAUUAAUUAAUUUUUUCAUGGAAUAAUGUUAUAUUUUAAGGGAUAAGCUUUAAUUUAAAUUUAUAUAAAUAUUAAUUUAAAUUUUAAAAUUUUUAUAAUUUAUAUUGUUAAAAAAUUUUAAUUUAUUAUAAAUAAUUUUAUGUAAAAUAAAAUUUAAUAAAAUUUUAUAAGUUUUAUAAAAAAAUAUUUUUUAAUUUUUAAAAAAUUGAUAUAAUGAUAAAAUUAGUAUAUUAUUUAUUAAAAAUUAUUAUUUAUAAAAAAUAAUUAAUUAAAAGGAAUUCGGCAAAAAUUUAUAUUCACUUGUUUAUCAAAAACAUGUCUUUUUGAAAAUAAUAUAAAGUCUAAUCUGCCCACUGAUUUAAUAAUUAAAGGGCUGCAGUAAUUUGACUGUACAAAGGUAGCAUAAUCAUUAGUCAUUUAAUUGGUGACUUGUAUGAAAGAUUGGAUGAAAUAUAAACUGUCUCUUAAUUAAAUUUAGAAUUUAAUUUUUUAAUUAAAAAGUUAAAAUGAAUUAAAAAGACGAGAAGACCCUAUAGAGUUUUAUAAAUAAAUUUAAUUAAAAUUAUUAUUAAAAUAAAUAAAUUGAAAUUAUUUUAUUUAUUUUAUUGGGGUGAUAAAAAAAUAUAUUAAACUUUUUUUAGUUGAUUAACAUAUAUAAGUGAAUAUUUGAUCCAGUAUUAUUGAUUAGAAGAAAAAAUUACCUUAGGGAUAACAGCGUAAUUUUUUUUUUUAGUUCACAUAAAAAAAAGAGUUUGCGACCUCGAUGUUGGAUUAAGAUAAAAUUUAAAUGCAGAAGUUUAAAGUUUUGAUCUGUUCGAUCAUUAAAAUCUUACAUGAUCUGAGUUCAAACCGGUGUAAGCCAGGUUGGUUUCUAUCUUUUAAAAAUUAAAAUAUUUUAGUACGAAAGGAUUAAAUAUUAAAAUUAAAUUUAUAUUAAGAAUUUUAUUAAUUUUAUUGUAAAUGUUUAAAUUAAAAUUAAAUGAUAUAUAUAUAUAUAUAU
Molecule: ribosomal RNA, 1368 nt
Filed under: Protegira songi
Lineage: Eukaryota; Metazoa; Arthropoda; Insecta; Lepidoptera; Noctuidae
Description: 16S ribosomal RNA
Source: RNAcentral